CCUCGUUGUCACUCGGUGCCACAGGGACGUGUCCAUGUCCUGGUGUCACCUUCUGGGUUCCUGUCCGUGUCCUGGUGUCACCUCAUGGGUUCCUGUCCUUGUCCUGGUGUCACCUCGUGGGAUGUGUCCGUGUCCUGGUGUCACCUCAUGGGUUCCUGUCCUUGUCCUGGUGUCACCUCAUGGGACGUGUCCAUGUCCUGGUGUCACCUUCUGGGUUCCUGUCCAUGUCCUGGUGUCACCUCGUGGGACGUGUCCGUGUCCUGGUGUCACCUUCUGGGUUCCUUUCUGUGUCCUGGUGUCACCUCAUGGGACGUGUCCAUGUCCUGGUGUCACCUCAUGGGUUCCUGUCCUUGUCCUGGUGUCACCUCGUGGGACGUGUCCAUGUCCUGGUGUCACCUCAUGGGUUCCUGUCCAUGUCCUGGUGUCACCUCGUGGAGAUGUGUCCAUGUCUGUGUCCCAGUGUCACCUCGUGGGACGUGUCCGUGUCCUCGCUGUCCCCCACGAGUGCCACCAUCCCCGUGGGUGCCUUGGGGACAUGUCCUUGUCCUCGCCGGUGCCACCGGGGCCUGGCCGUGUCCUUGUCCUCACUGGUGCCACCAGGACCUGGCCUUGUCCUUGUCCUCGCCAGUGCCACCAAGACUUGUCCUUGUCCUGGCCGGUGUCACCUGGGUGACAUCUUCUCCUCCUCGGUGUCACUGUCCCUGUCCUUGUCCCCGCUGUCACCUCAGGUGCCACCAGGACCUGUCCUGGUCCUGGCCGGUGUCACCUCAGGGGCCGGGGGGGCCCCUCCGUGUCCUCGCUGUCACCGCGGGGGUGGCCAGGGUGUCCCCAGGGUGUCCCCAGGGAUGUCCCCAGGGAUGUCUUCUCUGUCCCAGGGGUGUCCCCAGGAGUGUCCCAGGGAUGUCCUUGGUGUCCCCUGUGUCCCCAGGGAUGUCCCCUCUGUCCCAGGGGUGUCCCCAGGGAUGUCCUGGGUGUCCCCAGGGUGUCCCCAGGGAUGUCCCCAGGGAUGUCCUGGGUGUCCCCUGUGUCCCCAGGGAUGUCCCCUCUCUCCCAGGGGUGUCCCCAGGGAUGUCCUGGGUGUCCCCUGUGUCCCCAGGGAUGUCCCCUCUCUCCCAGGUGUGUCCCCAGG
This 1129-nucleotide long non-coding RNA is filed under the name Lonchura striata (white-rumped munia). RNAcentral describes it as "domestica (Bengalese finch) lncRNA (ENSLSDG00000001689.1)". The record is from RNAcentral. Lineage: Eukaryota; Metazoa; Chordata; Aves; Passeriformes; Estrildidae.